This 512-nucleotide ribosomal RNA is filed under the name uncultured bacterium. RNAcentral's name for it is "bacterial SSU rRNA". It matches the Rfam family "Bacterial small subunit ribosomal RNA", at positions 28 to 524 of the family's 1533-position model. The record is from RNAcentral.
GACGAACGCUGGCGGCGUGCCUAAUACAUGCAAGUCGAGCGAACCUUUGGGAGCUUGCUCCUAAAGGUUAGCGGCGGACGGGUGAGUAACACGUGGGCAACCUGCCUAUAAGACUGGGAUAACUUCGGGAAACCGGAGCUAAUACCGGAUAAUUCUUUUCUACACAUGUAGGAAAGCUAAAAGACGGUUUACGCUGUCACUUAUAGAUGGGCCCGCGGCGCAUUAGCUAGUUGGUGAGGUAACGGCUCACCAAGGCCACGAUGCGUAGCCGACCUGAGAGGGUGAUCGGCCACACUGGGACUGAGACACGGCCCAGACUCCUACGGGAGGCAGCAGUAGGGAAUCUUCCGCAAUGGACGAAAGUCUGACGGGCAACGCCGCGUGAGUGAUGAAGGUUUUCGGAUCGUAAAACUCUGUUGUUAGGGAAGAACAAGUACGAGAGUAACUGCUCGUACCUUGACGGUACCUAACCAGAAAGCCACGGCUAACUACGUGCCAGCCGCCGCAGUAAG